GAUGAACGCUAGCGAUAGGCUUAACACAUGCAAGUCGAGGGGCAUCACGAGGUAGCAGUACUUUGGUGGCGACCGGCGUACGGGUGCGUAACACGUAUGCAACCUUCCUGUAAGUGUGGGAUAGCCUCCUGAAAGGGAGAUUAAUACCUCAUGAUAUGUAUUUGCUGCAUGGCAUUUACAUUAAACAUUUAUGGCUUACAGAUGGGCAUGCGUUCCAUUAGGCAGUUGGUGUGGUAACGGCUCACCAAACCUACGAUGGAUAGGGGUUCUGAGAGGAAGGUCCCCCACACUGGAACUGAGACACGGUCCAGACUCCUACGGGAGGCAGCAGUGAGGAAUAUUGGUCAAUGGGCGCGAGCCUGAACCAGCCACGUCGCGUGAAGGAUGACGGCCUUAUGGGUUGUAAACUUCUUUUACAGGGGAAUAAAGUGAGUCACGUGUGAUUUUUUACAUGUACCCUGUGAAUAAGCAUCGGCUAACUCCGUGCCAGCAGCCCGCGGUAAUACGGAGGAUGCGAGCGUUAUCCGGAUUUAUUGGGUUUAAAGGGUGCCGUAGGCCGGGAUAUUAA
This 568-nucleotide ribosomal RNA is filed under the name uncultured bacterium. Its description in RNAcentral is "bacterial SSU rRNA". It matches the Rfam family "Bacterial small subunit ribosomal RNA", at positions 28 to 587 of the family's 1533-position model. The record is from RNAcentral.